Molecule: ribosomal RNA, 392 nt
Filed under: uncultured Gammaproteobacteria bacterium
Lineage: Bacteria; Pseudomonadati; Pseudomonadota; Gammaproteobacteria
Description: bacterial SSU rRNA
Rfam family: Bacterial small subunit ribosomal RNA
Source: RNAcentral
AAUGGGCGCAAGCCUGAUCCAGCGAUGCCGCGUGGAUGAUGAAGGCCCUAGGGUUGUAAAGUCCUUUCGAUGGUGAAGAUAAUGACGGUAACCAUUAAAGAAGCCCCGGCUAAUUUCGUGCCAGCAGCCGCGGUAAUACGAAAGGGGCAAGCGUUGUUCGGAAUUACUGGGCGUAAAGCGCGCGUAGGCGGCAUGCCAAGUUGGGGGUGAAAUCCCGGAGCUCAACUCCGGAACUGCCUCCAAAACUGGCAAGCUAGAGGAUGUGAGAGGAUAGUGGAAUUCCGAGUGUAGAGGUGAAAUUCGUAGAUAUUCGGAAGAACACCAGUGGCGAAGGCGACUGUCUGGCACAUCUCUGACGCUGAGGUGCGAAAGCGUGGGGAGCGAACAGGAUU